This 427-nucleotide ribosomal RNA is filed under the name uncultured prokaryote. RNAcentral describes it as "bacterial SSU rRNA". It matches the Rfam family "Bacterial small subunit ribosomal RNA", at positions 355 to 774 of the family's 1533-position model. The record is from RNAcentral.
CUAAGAAUAUUCCGCAAUGGACGAAAGUCUGACGGAGCGACGCCGCGUGGAUGACGAAGGCCGAAAGGUUGUAAAGUCCUUUUGCUGGGGAAGAAUAACCAUGGGAGGGAAUGCCCGUGGGAUGACAUGAACCGGCGAAUAAGCCCCGGCUAACUACGUGCCAGCAGCCGCGGUAACACGUAGGGGGCGAGCGUUGUUCGGAAUUACUGGGCGUAAAGGGCAUGUAGGCGGCUCUGUAAGCCUGGCGUGAAAGUCACCGGCUCAACCGGUGGAUUGCGCUGGGAACUGCGGGGCUUGAAUCAUGGAGAGGGAGGUAGAAUUCCAGGUGUAGGGGUGAAAUGUGUAGAGAUCGGGAAGAAUACCAGUGGCGAAGGCGAGCUCCUGGACAAGGAUUGACGCUGAGGUGCGAAAGUGUGGGGAUCAAACA